Bombus terrestris (buff-tailed bumblebee) is the source of this 2328-nucleotide long non-coding RNA. RefSeq lists it as uncharacterized. NCBI's taxonomy places the organism in Eukaryota, Metazoa, Arthropoda, Insecta, Hymenoptera, Apidae. The record is from RefSeq and is a predicted model, not a curated record. The transcript has 3 exons.
CAACCCUUCUGGUCAUGUGAAGCAAAAAUGCCGAACGGAUUCUUAAUUAGUAUAGAUGCAGUUAUCGCAUGAACCUUGGAAACGUCAAAAAAAUAUUUUUUCACAAAAUGGCGGCCGUUUGAAAAAAAAUUUUCCUUUUUGGCAUGUUUUUUGGCAAUUCCGAAUUUUUUUAAAAAUAGUAAAAUUAAAAAUUUUGAUCUGAGCGUGGUUGAGGCGAUAGAGGAAUGUAUAAAGAACAUUCACACCAAAUUUCAAAUAAAUCGGUUCAUUAGAACUUGAGAUAUCGCGCACGCCAACUCGAAAAAAGUAGUUUCGAGAAAAACGCGUUUAAAGUUUUGAGACAAGUUUCCGGCAAUUUUACUCAUAGUCUCGCCUGACUGCGAACGCAUGAGAUUCUGGGCCAAUCGUGAUUCCCAUGACACUUAAGAUUUUUAAUAUGGGUAUAAAACCUUCAUUAAAAAUACAUAUUGCGAGGAAAGUGGAAAUUUGAAUUGUCUGCGUUCCUGCGUGGGUGUGCAUAGUAAAAAAAGUCCAUAUUAACGAAUUUAACGAUUCGUUGCUAUUUUGGGUUUCAGAACCCAAACAUCGUUCCAAUUGAAUUAGAGAAUUAAAAAUACAUUAAAAAGGGAUAAAAUACAAUACAGGUACUUGGGCUUCUAUUGUUCAUUUUUUCUGGUCGGAUCGGGGCAGAUGCUGCGUCAUAAAAAUGGCUGUAAGUCAUAAAAUAAUUGAAAUUUUGAAAAAUCUUUUUAAGAGCACAUUCUUGAAUAUCUAAACUUUGAAAGUAUGAAAAAAAAUUUUCGAUUUCUUCAAAUUUGUAGACUAGAAUACCCCCGUAAGCUGGCAAGAGUUCGCACAAGUUCGUAACAUACCAAAAGAAGCACGAAGAAACAAAGGGAGAAAAACAAAGACGUCGAAAGAGAAUUUGGCAAGGCGGCCGCAUAGUUUGAGCGAUAAGUUGGCGAUAACUCGAACUUAAUAGCCUGUAAUACUAGAACGAGCUUCGAUGCGCGCCGUCACGCAACUCAUGCCUUUUGUAAAUUACGUGCAGACGUAUCGUAUACAAAAGCUUCUAACACAGGUCGUUUCCUUUGUGUUCGUUUAUCUCUGCAAACAUGUUGCUCCGAAAUUGUUGUUCACGUUACUGGGGCCAUACUAGUCAGAAUUGUACGAAAAAUACGACAUUUUUCUGGAACCUAUUUCUCGCGUUAUUUGUACAUUCGUAAAUUUACCUCUUAUACCGUUUUCAUGUUUUCGUCAGUUUGCGAAUCCCUUGUAACGCUAACAUUGAUUUACCACGUACAAGAAAUCUUUUCUGUGAAAUAUAUCAUGCUAUCGCUCUCGUUAUCGUUAUCAUCAUCAUCAUCGUUAUCGUUAUCGAUACAAUAGAUCUGAGCAUCACGAUUAUAAUAAGAUACAUACGUGUUAUACUUUUCAGGUUAUCCUGCCUUUCAUUUCGCGAAAUGAUUUCGAUUUAGCAGAAAAUUGGAGUAUUUGGAUGGUGCGUUAAAUGUUUGUCGCCUUGAAAUUGAUCGUUCCAACGACCUGUGAAAAUAAAGCUGAGCUCGAAUUCGCAGAACGUAGAAUCGAUAUCGUGAGAUUGCGUGCCACUGGUCAUCGUGCAUUGAUAACGAAUGAGAACGAAAGUUGCUCGUAUACCAAGAAGAUGAAUAGCAUACCUUUUACUAAAGAUCAAUUUUUUUUCGAUAUAUUUUUUCGCCGUCAACCAUGUUAUACAAUCGGAAGGAUUAAUUCGUGCUAAACCGGCCAAUGAAAAGACGAAAGGCAAGUGAACGGACGUCGCGUGUAUUAUAAACGGAUUACUGUCUUGACACACGUAAAUAUGUAUUCGAUAUGUAAAUCGAUGGCAAUAAGAGUACCCGAUUUAUGCGACGAAAUCGAUAUUUCAUCGAUGAUAGAAUCGCACAGAUAUUUUGCUAUGGAUCGAAAAAGUACAUAUAUAGCUACUACAAAACUCUUAAAAAUAUUUCCAAAAACAAAAAAAAAAAAAAAAAACGAUAUUUGUCAUAUUUGUGACCUUCCGAACUACGUACACGUAUCAGGAAAUAAAAUUUCUUGUACGUAAUCGUAGUGGAUUUCUUUCUACCAGUAUCUUGAACUCGCAACUGUCGCACAAUUACCUUCGACCUAUACGUAUCACCUUCGAUGCUAUCUCUACGUUUCAAAGAGAAUUUUGAGACUGCCCUAGACGAGUGGUCGUUGUUGUUGCUGUUGUUGACGUCGGCUUCGUCGUCGUCGUCGUCGUCGUCGCCGUUGUUGCCGUCGUCGUCGCCGUCGUCGCCGUCGUCGUCGUCGUCGUCGUCGUCG